RNAcentral lists this ribosomal RNA (254 nucleotides) under uncultured bacterium. Its description in RNAcentral is "partial 16S ribosomal RNA". It matches the Rfam family "Bacterial small subunit ribosomal RNA", at positions 524 to 776 of the family's 1533-position model. The record is from RNAcentral.
UACGUAGGGGGCAAGCGUUGUCCGGAUUUAUUGGGCGUAAAGAGCUCGUAGGCGGUGUGUCGCGUCGGCCGUGAAAACCUGCAGCUUAACUGUGGGCUUGCGGUCGAUACGGGCAUCACUGGAGUUCGGCAGGGGAGACUGGAAUUCCUGGUGUAGCGGUGGAAUGCGCAGAUAUCAGGAGGAACACCGGUGGCGAAGGCGGGUCUCUGGGCAGUAACUGACGCUGAGGAGCGAAAGCGUGGGGAGCGAACAGG